RNAcentral lists this ribosomal RNA (356 nucleotides) under uncultured bacterium. RNAcentral's name for it is "bacterial SSU rRNA". It matches the Rfam family "Bacterial small subunit ribosomal RNA", at positions 917 to 1271 of the family's 1533-position model. The record is from RNAcentral.
GGGCCCGCACAAGCAGUGGAGCAUGUGGUUUAAUUCGAAGAUACGCGCAGAACCUUACCAACACUUGACAUGUUCGUCGCGACUCUAAGAGAUUAAAGUUUUCGGUUCGGCCGGACGAAACACAGGUGCUGCAUGGCUGUCGUCAGCUCGUGUCGUGAGAUGUUGGUUAAGUCCCGCAACGAGCGCAACCCUCACUUUUAGUUGCCAUCAUUAAGUUGGGCACUCUGAAAGAACUGCCAGUGAUAAGCUGGAGGAAGGUGGGGAUGACGUCAAGUCCUCAUGGCCCUUACGUGUUGGGCUACACACGUGCUACAAUGGUAUCUACAACAGGAAGCAAGACUGCGAAGUUAAGCAAA